CCCAUCGGCCCGCGCCCCAGCCCGCGGGCCCCCGCCCCCGGGCUCUGCGCUGACGCCGGACGGCCCCCGCCCCCACGCCCCCCGCCCCGGCCGGGGGGUAGCUCACCUGUUUGUCGGCGGGGCCGCUCCCGCUCGCCCCUCUGACUGACUCCUCCGGCUCACCGUCUUCCCUCUGGGAGGAAGGGGCGGGACUUCCGGCUUCGGCGCUCCCCACUUCCGGCGGCUCCCAGGACCACUCGUUCGGGGACGGGGCGCCGGGCAUCUUGGCCAGAACCCCGGAUCUUGGAACCGGGGCUAGUGAAGGCCACAUCGAGUUCUCCCUCCCUGUCCCGACGGGCCGGAGGGCCUGUAAACCUCUUGUGUUCAGUCUGGUGCCUCCUGCCGGUAGUCACUGGGCUGUGGAACAGGAAGUCCCGCCCCCUCCCCAAGUGAGGAAAACAGAAAAAUCGGAGAGGAGACUCAGAAGUCCGGAGAGAGGACCGCAGCUUGAAAAGUCUGCAGAGAGGAGCGGGCCGCUGUGCCACCCCGCUUAGGGUCAGUGUAAGGACAGAGCUUGCUAAGGAGUUUUGACUUUAUCUCGAAGAUGUAGGGAGGGGAAUUUCCUAAAUAAUCAGCUUUGUAUAAUUUUUAAGAAAGUGGAGUUUUUCCAGGAUAGUAUUACAAUGAUAGGCUUAUCUCAACCUGCUGGAUCAGAUAGAUGGUAAGAAUCUGCUUGCAGUAUGGGAGAUCCAGGUUCGAUCUCUGGGUG
Molecule: long non-coding RNA, 748 nt
Filed under: Capra hircus (goat)
Lineage: Eukaryota; Metazoa; Chordata; Mammalia; Artiodactyla; Bovidae
Description: lncRNA (ENSCHIG00000002505.1)
Source: RNAcentral